UAAUACGGAGGGGGCUAGCGUUGUUCGGAGUUACUGGGCGUAAAGGGCGCGUAGGCGGCUGUGCAAGUCAGGUGUGAAAGGCCCGGGCUCAACCCGGGGACGGCGCUUGAGACUGCACGGCUUGGAGUCCGGGAGAGGAUGGUGGAAUUCCCAGUGUAGAGGUGAAAUUCGUAGAUAUUGGGAAGAACACCGGUGGCGAAGGCGGCCAUCUGGACCGGUACUGACGCUGAGGCGCGAAAGCGUGGGGAGCAAACAGGAUUAGAUACCCUGGUAGUCCACGCCGUAAACGAUGCGUGCUAGACGUUGGGGGGCUUGCCCUUCGGUGUCGCAGCUAACGCGCGAAGCACGCCGCCUGGGGAGUACGGUCGCAAGAUUA
Molecule: ribosomal RNA, 376 nt
Filed under: uncultured bacterium
Lineage: Bacteria
Description: bacterial SSU rRNA
Rfam family: Bacterial small subunit ribosomal RNA
Source: RNAcentral